UCUUGUAUCAAACUUGCGUUGUAUCCUUGUGGCUUUUUCUUUGCUUUACUUGGUAUCUUGUAUAUGGCUAGUUUCUCUGUUAUCUAAAUUUCUAGUAGCCAUUGGGGUGGUUAGUCAAGAAACAAAUUCUAUGGUACUCACCACUACUUCUAUUGCGCCUCUUUAUGUCUUCUUUCCUGUUUUCUUCUUCUGGAAGAUGUCUAGUGCUGUUGCUAAGCAAUUUUUCUUGGUUGUUUGAUUCUGUGCCUAAAUAUACAAACUUGUUAGCUGUCAGAGUUCCCUGUGACAUGGGAAUUUCAAUAGUUGGACUGCUCAAUUACAUUUGUUCCUUCAGUACUGUUUUGUUGGAGAACUAUAAGUAACAGGUUCUUAAUUACCUGAUAAAGCUCUUUCUUCUAGUUCACUUGUUUCCAUACUUGUAAUUCUUGACCACAUAUUUAGGCAUAUCUCGGAACUUCAGAAAUG
RNAcentral lists this unclassified non-coding RNA (465 nucleotides) under Hevea brasiliensis (rubber tree). The record is from RNAcentral. Lineage: Eukaryota; Viridiplantae; Streptophyta; Magnoliopsida; Malpighiales; Euphorbiaceae.